UCUUUGGUGUUCUUUUUCUCACCAAGACUUAUUCUUUUUAGAGAGUAAACAAAGGAGAACUCGCAUACUGGAUCGACACCCUCAGCAUUUUUCCAACCUUUGUAAUUGAUCAUUCCAAAUCAUAUAUAUAAUAGCAGAGUUUUCUCUCCUCUAAAAGUGUCCACGUCACUACAUCUUUUUAAUGUGGAGCCCACAUGUUUUUACUCUGCCUUCACAUUUUUUUCUAUGCGUGAAAUAGAUUUAGUGAUGUUUAUGGGGCCACGAUUUGGUCAAAAAGCCCAUGAGCCAAAGAACCAAAUAGACUUAGUGAUGUGUAUCGGGCCAAGAUUUAGUCAAAAAACCUAUGAACCGAAAGGACCUAAGAAAACCCAGUUAAAAUUGCAAACCCUCGAUUUCAUUUUCUCCAAUUCGAUCGACGCAAUUCAGAGGACCACGAAAGAGAAAAAGAGUGUUUCAGUCACUGCCCCAUGGAGCUUUCCGUAUUUUUCUUCCCCAGAAGCUCAAACAUCAACAGUUAUUCACUAAAAGGUACUUAAAUACAUGGCUUAAUUCCUACAAAAUUCCACUACUUGCAAUUUAAUUCAUACUUUUAAUAUCUCAAAUCGAAACUGUAACUGGAGAAAAGCAUGUAGCUUUUGAUGCUUUACGUCUUGGUCGCUCUACUCAACAGGUUGUUGGUCGCCUACUUCGUUUUUGGGAUGCUCGCAACAUCAAGAAAGAUGGCCAAUUCAUGGGCAUAGUCCUCCUGUUACUUGAUGAAAAAGUAAAUCAUCUUAGAUGUUUAAUGUUUUUUUGUUUCAUAUGUAAUUGAUGGCCAACUAACACUUAAUUUGUUUCAUUAAUAGUGCUCCGAAAUCCAUGCUUUUAUCCCAGCAGCUCUUGCUUCACAUUUCCGCCAAGUUUUGCGUGAAGGCAUAAUCUUCAAUGUUAGUGGGUUUGAAGUGGGACGUUGCACGAAACUCUACAAGAUCACUGACCAUCCUUUUCUCCUCCGUUUUCUCCCUGCCACAACGAUUAUUGAAGUUUCAGAUGUUGGCCCUACAAUUGAGAGGGAAAAGUU
This 1060-nucleotide small RNA is filed under the name Arabidopsis thaliana (thale cress). Its description in RNAcentral is "ATSL157220". The record is from RNAcentral. Lineage: Eukaryota; Viridiplantae; Streptophyta; Magnoliopsida; Brassicales; Brassicaceae.